This 492-nucleotide ribosomal RNA is filed under the name uncultured bacterium. Its description in RNAcentral is "partial 16S ribosomal RNA". It matches the Rfam family "Bacterial small subunit ribosomal RNA", at positions 29 to 507 of the family's 1533-position model. The record is from RNAcentral.
AGUGAACGCUGGCGGUAGGCCUAACACAUGCAAGUCGAACGGCAGCACAGUAAGAGCUUGCUCUUACGGGUGGCGAGUGGCGGACGGGUGAGGAAUACAUCGGAAUCUACUUUUUCGUGGGGGAUAACGUAGGGAAACUUACGCUAAUACCGCAUACGACCUACGGGUGAAAGCAGGGGAUCUUCGGACCUUGCGCGAUUGAAUGAGCCGAUGUCGGAUUAGCUAGUUGGCGGGGUAAAGGCCCACCAAGGCGACGAUCCGUAGCUGGUCUGAGAGGAUGAUCAGCCACACUGGAACUGAGACACGGUCCAGACUCCUACGGGGGGCAGCAGUGGGGAAUAUUGGACAAUGGGCGCAAGCCUGAUCCAGCCAUACCGCGUGGGUGAAGAAGGCCUUCGGGUUGUAAAGCCCUUUUGUUGGGAAAGAAGAGCAGCAGGUUAAUACCCCGCUGUUCUGACGGUACCCAAAGAAUAAGCACCGGAUAACUUCGUG